CAAACCACAUCACCCCUGUUAGAGGUGGAGGAUUUGCUGUGCCCCACUCACUGCCACCCCCACUGCCACCAGGGCAGUCAUGUCUCACAUGGUGCGACAUUUGGUAUCCCCACUCCUUCACCCACUUGUGCCUUCAGAGAGGACUCGGAGCCCUCAGGAGAGCUACAGGGUAGUCCCGUAAAUAGCCAGGGGCCAGUGAGAUGAUGUACUCUGAGGAGAGGCUUCCCACAAUACAAACCUUAGGUGUCAAAUGUGCUAUGAGGACACUGAGGCAUUGUACCCUCAGCACCUGUGGCAGGUAGGUGGGGCCCAGGCCAGCCACAACAGCCCUUUCAUUUCCCCAUGGUGCUGUCCCAAUGUCAUAAUUUUCUUUGUCAUGAUAUGGGAAGCACUGCCUGAUGGGGCCCCACCUCCAGCACAUUGGCUGUCUCUCUGUCACUUGGCUUCCUGAAUGGUAUUUAAACGCCCCCCGCAUCACUGUUGGGUCUCAGCAAACUCUCUGGCCUCUUGUUCAAUUUGCCCUCUGCAUACUGGGAAGGCCUAUUUAACUUUGCCUGGCAUCUGUGUGGAAGAAACACUUCUUAGGCAAAGAGCUCCUGGAAGACAAUCUCCCUAGCAACAAUGAAGCAUCCUCUCUACAGUCUUUUCUGCCUCUCUUUUGUUGUUAUCUGGAUGACAGGGAUUGAAUCUGGCCUCUGCCCAUAUCAAAUGCUGUCUGGGGCUGGAAACAAGCCUCAAAACAUGUUUUAAAUAUUUUAUUUCCCCCCGUCUCCCCUAAGUCUGCCCACCAUGCAUACGCUUGAUUAAAGUUAUGCCCCAGUGAUCAACUGUGAGUGACAGUGACCCUCCUAAAGGUAGUCUACUUAGCCUCUGGGCUCAGGCAACACACCUGUGUCUGAUUAGACACUGUUACCCUGCUUGAACCUGUGCCACAUGAAAGCAGCUUUCUCUUGUGCUCUGGUAGUGGGAGAUGCUUUCUUGUAAUGUUAAUGCAGGGCUAGACUUUUCUCCUGCUGAUCCUUUGCCUGGAAUGUUCUCCUCUUCCUUGUCACCAGCCAGAGCACCACUAAAUCAGUGUAAACUCCUUAAGGGAAGACUAAAGUCCUGGGAAGUGGGGUCAUCCUGGCCUUAUCUCCUUAAAGAACCUAACUCUUCAAGGGGGUCUUCCCUGUUAACCCUCUGUAUUAGUUGGCUAGGGCUGCAGUUGCCAGUACCAUGAACUGCGUGACUUAAACAACAGAAACUAAUUGUCUCACAGUUUUGGAGAUCAAGAUCAAGGUGCCAGCAGGUUUGGUUUCUCCUGAGACCUCUUUCUUUGGCUUGCAGAUGGCCACCUUCUUGUUGUGUCCUCCCAUGGCCUUUCAUCUGUGUGUGUGCAUCCCUAAUGUCUCUUCCCCUUUUUAUAAGGACGUGAGUCCUAUCCAAUUAGGGUCCCACCCUUAUGAGCUCAUUCAGCCUUAAUUACUUCUUCAAAGGCUUUAGCUCCAAAUAUAGUCACACUGAGGGUUAGGGCUUCAACAUAUGAAUUUUAAGGGAACACAGUUCAGUCCACCUCAUUAUCCUUAACGUUUUCCAUUUUUCUGUAUUCUCUCCAGUGCUUGGGUAUUGCAUCAGUUUCCUAUAAUUGCUUUAGCAAAUUACUAAAAACUUGGUGGCUAUAAACAACAGAAAUUUAUUGUCUCACAGUUCUAGAGGCCAGAAGUCUGAAAUCGGUGUCACUGGGCCGAAAUCAAGCUGUCAGCAAGGCUGUACUCCCUCCAGAGGCUCUAGGGGGAAAUCUGUCCCUUGCCUUUUUCACUUUUUGGUGGCUGGCAGCAUUCCUUGAUUUCUGGAUGCAUCAAUCCAUCCUCUGUGGUCACAUUGUCUACUCCUCUUCUGGUCAAAUUUCCCUUUGCCUCUCUCUUAUAGGGACAAUCGUGAUUGCAUUUAGGGUCCACCCAGAUAAUCCAGACUAAUGCCCCAUCUCAAGAUCCUUAACUUAAUCAUAUCUGUAAGGCCCCUUUUACCAAAUAAGGUGACAUUUAUAAGUUCCAGACAUUAGAAUCUCCUAUCUUGGGGGCCAUUAUUCCACCAGCCACAGGAGUAUUGUUCAUAAUAUAUCAUUUGAUGUUUAAACAAAUGAUGUAUCAUUUGAUGUUUAACAGCUGACCUACAAAAAGAGCCCUUGUUGCAAGGGCAGGAGACACAAAGAUGUUUUUGCUGGGUGUGUUCAGACAAGAUCACACCCUUCAUACCAUAAUCUAGAGCCUUGGCUCUGUCCUCCCACAUGACCUUCGCCUGAGGGGAGGGGCUGGGGACUAGGGAGCCAAGGAGUCUCCCUGGGGAGGUGAGGUUUCAGAUGAUCCAGGGGUUGGAAGAAGUUUCUCCCAUGCAUUUUUAUCUCAUGGCUGGUUAAGAGGGGUGGGCAUCCCACUCCCGGAAGCCAUUUCACUUUGAAUACUUUGUUUACUUCUGGUUAGAAGAGUCUUCAGGAGUGUGGGCUCUGAACUCAAAGCUCUUUUUUCCCCCAGUGACCCUUUUGGCAAUGAAUCACGUGCAUAUUUUGUGACACACUCCAAUAAUCACUUCAUGGAACUUCCCAAAUGGCUCUGCCAUGACCUCUUCCCUCAGGCGCUCCUCCCAC
RNAcentral lists this long non-coding RNA (2623 nucleotides) under Homo sapiens (human). RNAcentral describes it as "HSALNT0301741". The record is from RNAcentral. Lineage: Eukaryota; Metazoa; Chordata; Mammalia; Primates; Hominidae.